GCCCUUCGUAUUACCGCGGCUGCUGGCACGGAGUUAGCCGGUGCUUCCUUUAGCGGUACCGUCAGUACCCGAUGGUAUUUGCAUCGAAUAGUUUCUUCCCACUUGACAGAGCUUUACAACCCAAAGGCCUUCUUCACUCACGCGGCGUUGCUGCGUCAGGGUUUCCCCCAUUGCGCAAAAUUCCUCACUGCUGCCUCCCGUAGGAGUCUGGACCGUGUUUCAGUUCCAAUGUGACUGGUCAUCCUCUCAGACCAGCUAACCAUCGCAGCCUUGGUAGGCCGUUACCCUACCAACAAGCUAAUGGUACGCGGGCUCCUCUCCAAGCAACAGCUUACAUGUAGAGGCCAUCUUUGAUUUUUGGAACAUGCGUUCCUAAAAUAUUAUCCGGUAUUAGCACGCCUUUCGGCGAGUUAUCCCGAUCUUGGAGGCAGAUUGCCCACGCGUUACUCACCCGUGCGCCACUUUACUAUCUCUAAGCAAGCUUAAAGAGUUCUCGUACGACUUGCAUGUGUUAGGCACGCCGCCAGCGUUCAUUCUGAGCCAUGAUCAAACUCAAGGGC
This 560-nucleotide ribosomal RNA is filed under the name uncultured delta proteobacterium. RNAcentral describes it as "partial 16S ribosomal RNA". The record is from RNAcentral. Lineage: Bacteria; Deltaproteobacteria.